Molecule: ribosomal RNA, 253 nt
Filed under: uncultured bacterium
Lineage: Bacteria
Description: partial 16S ribosomal RNA
Rfam family: Bacterial small subunit ribosomal RNA
Source: RNAcentral
UACGGAGGGCGAAAGCGUUGCUCGGAAUUACUGGGCGUAAAGCGCGUGCAGGCGGUCGAGUAAGUCGGUUGUGAAAUCCCCAGGCUCAACCUGGGAACCGCAUCCGAAACUGCUCGGCUAGAGUCCCGGAGAGGGAGGCGGAACUCCCAGUGUAGGGGUGAAAUCCGUAGAUAUUGGGAAGAACACCGGCGGCGAAAGCGGCCUCCUGGACGGUGACUGACGCUGAGACGAGAAAGCGUGGGGAGCAAACAGG